UGCUCACACCGUAGUAAUUGCAGAAAUAGAACCGGCGGCACCCUUUUCCUCUCUAUAUUCCGCAACCGUUACAUGAUUAUCCUUUUUGACAAUGCUAAGAACUUGAACCCCCUUAUAAUUAUUGCCACCAUCCGCACUCCCCUCAUUUUCUGGCACAGUUACCAAAGCAUCCUUCUCCCCAGCAUGGUUCUCGCUGUUCAAAGGGUCAACCGAGUCACUCUUCAUGUCUGC
Molecule: long non-coding RNA, 231 nt
Filed under: Hordeum vulgare
Lineage: Eukaryota; Viridiplantae; Streptophyta; Magnoliopsida; Poales; Poaceae
Description: long non-coding RNA (HVUL_LNC010660)
Source: RNAcentral